UAAAUGAAGAGAGUUGGAAAGCUCCGCCAUAGAAGGUAAUAGCCCUGUAGUUGAAACGAGAAAGCUACUAGUAUGAUCCAGAGUACCACGGGACACGUGAAACCCUGUGGGAAGCAGGAGGGACCAUCCUCCAAGCCUAAAUACUACCUAGUGACCGAUAGCGCAUAGUACCGUGAGGGAAAGGUGAAAAGAACCCCGGGAGGGGAGUGAAAUAGAACCUGAAACCCUGCACUUACAAGCUGUGGGAGCACAUUACUUGUGUGACCGCGUACUUUUUGUAGAACGGGCCAACGAGUUACGUUAAGUAGCAAGGUUAAGCACUUAAGGUGUGGAGCCGUAGCGAAAGCGAGUCUUAAAUGGGCGAUUAAGUUACUUGGCGUAGACCCGAAACCGGGCGACCUAUCCAUGAGCAGGUUGAAGCGAAAGUAAAAUUUCGUGGAGGACCGAACCCACGAGCGUUGAAAAGCUCGGGGAUGACUUGUGGAUAGCGGUGAAAUUCCAAUCGAGCCCGGAGAUAGCUGGUUCUCCCCGAAAUAGCUUUAGGGCUAGCCUCAAGCGUAGAGAAACGGAGGUAGAGCACUGAAUGUCCUAGGGGG
This 596-nucleotide ribosomal RNA is filed under the name Acinetobacter baumannii. RNAcentral's name for it is "partial 23S ribosomal RNA". It matches the Rfam family "Bacterial large subunit ribosomal RNA", at positions 330 to 926 of the family's 2925-position model. The record is from RNAcentral. Lineage: Bacteria; Pseudomonadati; Pseudomonadota; Gammaproteobacteria; Moraxellales; Moraxellaceae.